AACGAACGCUGGCGGCAUGCCUAACACAUGCAAGUCGAACGAGACCUUCGGGUCUAGUGGCGCACGGGUGUGUCGCGUGUGGGAACGUGCCGUUAUGCUCGGAAUAACUCCCCUACGGGGGUGCUAACACCGGAUAAUGUCUUCGGACACAAGAUUGAUCGCCUUUGGAUGGGCCGGCGUUGGCUUAGCUUGUUGGUAGGGUAAAAGCCUACCAAGGCGGCGAUCCAUAGCUGGUCUGAGAGGAUGAUCAGCCACACUGGGACUGGGACACGGCCCAGACUCUUGCGGGAGGGAGCAGGGGGGAAUAUGGGACACCGGGCGAAAGCAGAAGCCAGCAAGGCGGUGUGGGGGAUGAGGGCGUUAGGGAUGUAAGGCUGUUUUACCCGGGCUGUUAUGACGGGACCCGGAGAAAAAGCCCCGGCCAAAUUCGUG
Molecule: ribosomal RNA, 432 nt
Filed under: uncultured bacterium
Lineage: Bacteria
Description: partial 16S ribosomal RNA
Rfam family: Bacterial small subunit ribosomal RNA
Source: RNAcentral